GGAGUGGCUCGGACGGUCGCGAGGUGUACGAUGCAUCUCGAGGAAAGUCCGGGCUGCGUAGAGUAAGGAUGCCGGGUAACGCCCGGUGGGGGCGACCCUGAGGAUAAGUGCCACAGAAAAAAGACCGCCGGUUGGGUUCAUUCCUCUCCGGUAAGGGUGAAAUGGUGCGGUAAAAGCGCACCGCUCUGCACGGUAACGGGCGGAGGCAUAGGCAAACCCCAUCCGCAGCAAGGCCAAAUAGGGGAGCGUAUGGUGUUACUCGCAUCUGCUCCCGGGUUGGCUGCUAGAGCCGCCGGGCAACCGUCGGCGUAGAUGAAUGAUCGUCUCCCUUCUCUCAAGGAAGGCAGACAAAACCCGGCUUACAGAGCCACUCCGUUU
This 378-nucleotide RNase P RNA is filed under the name Mariprofundales bacterium. RNAcentral's name for it is "RNase P RNA component class A". It matches the Rfam family "Bacterial RNase P class A". Rfam says of the family: Ribonuclease P (RNase P) is a ubiquitous endoribonuclease, found in archaea, bacteria and eukarya as well as chloroplasts and mitochondria. Its best characterised activity is the generation of mature 5'-ends of tRNAs by cleaving the 5'-leader elements of precursor-tRNAs. Lineage: Bacteria; Pseudomonadati; Pseudomonadota; Candidatius Mariprofundia; Mariprofundales. The record is from RNAcentral.